This 248-nucleotide ribosomal RNA is filed under the name uncultured bacterium. RNAcentral's name for it is "partial 16S ribosomal RNA". It matches the Rfam family "Bacterial small subunit ribosomal RNA", at positions 57 to 305 of the family's 1533-position model. The record is from RNAcentral.
GCAAGUCGAACGCUGAAGUCAAUUUCGGGGGUGUAUAAAGCGGCGGACGGGUGAGUAAGGCAUAGGCAACCUGCCCUUAAGUGGGGGAUAGCCUGGGGAAACUCGGGUUAAUACCGCGUAAGCUGGAUAUGUGAAUAAUAUUCAGUAAAGGCUUCGGCCGCUUUGGGAUGGGCCUAUGUAUGAUUAGCUAGUUGGUAAGGUAACGGCUUACCAAGGCUUCGAUCAUUAGCUGGUCUGAGAGGAUGAUC